This 253-nucleotide ribosomal RNA is filed under the name uncultured bacterium. Its description in RNAcentral is "partial 16S ribosomal RNA". It matches the Rfam family "Bacterial small subunit ribosomal RNA", at positions 524 to 776 of the family's 1533-position model. The record is from RNAcentral.
UACGGGGGGGGCAAGCGUUGUUCGGAAUUAUUGGGCGUAAAGGGCGCGCAGGCGGCUGGGCAAGUGGGUGGUGAAAGCCCCGGGCUCAACCCGGGGUUGGCCACCGAGACUGCUCGGCUGGAGUGUGGGAGAGGAGGGUGGAAUUCCUGGUGUAGCGGUGAAAUGCGUAGAGAUCAGGAGGAACACCGGUGGCGAAGGCGGCUCUCUGGACCACAACUGACGCUGAGGCGCGAAAGCUAGGGGAGCAAACAGG